AUGCCCCUUAAAUUUUGGGAUGAAGCGUUUCUCACCGCCGUUCACAUUAUCAAUAUGCUUCCUAGUCGUGUCAUACACAACGAAACUCCCAUGGAACGCCUUCUUCACACCAAACCAGACUACAAGUCUCUCCGUGUUUUUGGGUGUGCGUGUUGGCCCAAUCUUCGUCCCUACAACAAUCGCAAAUUGAUGUUUCGAUCAAAACAGUGUGUCUUCCUAGGGUACAACACUCAACAAAAGGGUGUAAAAUGUCUUGAUGUCUCUUCUGGCCGUGUAUACAUUUCCCGUGAUGUUGUGUUUGAUGAGACUAAGUUUCCCUUUGCUCACCUUCAUCCCAAUGCGGGUGCACUUCUCCGAAAAGAAAUUCUACUCACUACAAAAAACAUGUUAAUCCAUGACAGUAUUCUGGUGACGUUCUCAAAAACUGUCACAAAUUAUGACGGUUUUACCAGGUUUGUCACAAAAUCCGUCAUAUAUUAG
This 480-nucleotide ribosomal RNA is filed under the name Triticum aestivum (bread wheat). Its description in RNAcentral is "partial small subunit ribosomal RNA". The record is from RNAcentral. Lineage: Eukaryota; Viridiplantae; Streptophyta; Magnoliopsida; Poales; Poaceae.